AAAUUGAAGAGUUUGAUCAUGGCUCAGAUUGAACGCUGGCGGCAGGCCUAACACAUGCAAGUCGAACGGUAACAGGAAGCAGCUUGCUGCUUUGCUGACGAGUGGCGGACGGGUGAGUAAUGUCUGGGAAACUGCCUGAUGGAGGGGGAUAACUACUGGAAACGGUGGCUAAUACCGCAUAACGUCGCAAGACCAAAGAGGGGGACCUUCGGGCCUCUUGCCAUCAGAUGUGCCCAGAUGGGAUUAGCUUGUUGGUGAGGUAACGGCUCACCAAGGCGACGAUCCCUAGCUGGUCUGAGAGGAUGACCAGCCACACUGGAACUGAGACACGGUCCAGACUCCUACGGGAGGCAGCAGUGGGGAAUAUUGCACAAUGGGCGCA
This 382-nucleotide ribosomal RNA is filed under the name Salmonella enterica. RNAcentral's name for it is "partial 16S ribosomal RNA". It matches the Rfam family "Bacterial small subunit ribosomal RNA", at positions 1 to 379 of the family's 1533-position model. The record is from RNAcentral. RNAcentral also lists the same sequence under 1 other name. Lineage: Bacteria; Pseudomonadati; Pseudomonadota; Gammaproteobacteria; Enterobacterales; Enterobacteriaceae.